UUAGGUCCAAACCCUUGAAUUAUUCUUUAUCCCUGUUUUUCUCCCUCACCUCAUUAAAUCCAACUUCAAAUCCUGCCAGUUUGACCUUCAAGAGGUACCCAGAAUUCAUCUGUCUCUCAACACCACCAACAACCACAGCCUGAUCCAAGCCCCCAUCAUCUGUUGCUUGCAAUAUGACCGUAGCCUCCUCACUGGUCUCACCGCUUCUGCUCCUACCUCACUUUCUGUCCCUUCUCCUCCUUUUAAGCAGCCACGGGGAGCUUCUGAAAAAAUCUAAGUCACAUCAUAU
RNAcentral lists this long non-coding RNA (289 nucleotides) under Homo sapiens (human). RNAcentral's name for it is "non-protein coding lnc-TGM6-1:1". Lineage: Eukaryota; Metazoa; Chordata; Mammalia; Primates; Hominidae. The record is from RNAcentral.